RNAcentral lists this ribosomal RNA (398 nucleotides) under Lactobacillus sp. B-10. Its description in RNAcentral is "bacterial SSU rRNA". It matches the Rfam family "Bacterial small subunit ribosomal RNA", at positions 125 to 509 of the family's 1533-position model. Lineage: Bacteria; Bacillati; Bacillota; Bacilli; Lactobacillales; Lactobacillaceae. The record is from RNAcentral.
CCUGCCCCUAAGUCUGGGAUACCAUUUGGAAACAGGUGCUAAUACCGGAUAAUAAAGGGAAUCGCAUGAUCAGCUUUUGAAGGGCGGCGUAAGCUGUCGCUAAGGGAUGGCCCCGCGGUGCAUUAGCUAUUUGGUAAGGUAACGGCUUACCAAGGCAACAAUGCAUACCUGAGUUGAAAGACUGAUCGGUCACAUUGGGACUGAGACACGGCCCAAACUCCUACGGGAGGCAGCAGUAGGGAAUCUUCCACAAUGGACGCAAGUCUGAUGGAGCAACGCCGCGUGAGUGAAGAAGGUUUUCGGAUCGUAAAGCUCUGUUGUUGGUGAAAAAGGAUAGAGGUAGUAACUGGCCUUUAUUUGACGGUAAUCAACCAGAAAGUCACGGCUAACUACGUGCC